CGAAAGCCUGACGGAGCAAGACCGCGUGGGGGAGGAAGGCUCUAGGGUUGUAAACCCCUUUUCUUUGGGAAGAACAAAAUGACGGUACCAAAGGAAUCAGCCUCGGCUAACUCCGUGCCAGCAGCCGCGGUAAUACGGAGGAGGCAAGCGUUAUCCGGAAUUAUUGGGCGUAAAGCGUCCGCAGGUGGCGAUUCAAGUCUGCUGUCAAAGCACGGGGCUUAACUCCGUAAAGGCAGUGGAAACUGAAUAGCUAGAGUGCCGUAGGGGUAGAGGGAAUUCCCGGUGUAGCGGUGAAAUGCGUAGAUAUUGGGAAGAACACCGGUGGCGAAAGCGCUCUACUGGGCCAUAACUGACGCUGAGGGACGAAAGCUAGGGGAGCG
This 380-nucleotide ribosomal RNA is filed under the name uncultured cyanobacterium. RNAcentral's name for it is "bacterial SSU rRNA". It matches the Rfam family "Bacterial small subunit ribosomal RNA", at positions 376 to 770 of the family's 1533-position model. Lineage: Bacteria; Bacillati; Cyanobacteriota. The record is from RNAcentral.